Molecule: ribosomal RNA, 741 nt
Filed under: Salmonella enterica subsp. enterica serovar Saintpaul
Lineage: Bacteria; Pseudomonadati; Pseudomonadota; Gammaproteobacteria; Enterobacterales; Enterobacteriaceae
Description: partial 23S ribosomal RNA
Rfam family: Bacterial large subunit ribosomal RNA
Source: RNAcentral
AUCCUCCAAGGCUAAAUACUCCUGACUGACCGAUAGUGAACCAGUACCGUGAGGGAAAGGCGAAAAGAACCCCGGCGAGGGGAGUGAAAAAGAACCUGAAACCGUGUACGUACAAGCAGUGGGAGCCCCACCACUAAGCCAGUGGUGAACUCCACAUCCGCAUCCUUUGCUGAGGAUACGGUUAACGGAGCGAAAGCGACGUUCAACCGCAAAACAAGCAGAGGGGGCUUAGUGGUGGGGUGACUGCGUACCUUUUGUAUAAUGGGUCAGCGACUUAUAUUCUGUAGCAAGGUUAACCGAAUAGGGGAGCCGGAGGGAAACCGAGUCUUAAUUGGGCGUUAAGUUGCAGGGUAUAGACCCGAAACCCCCAGACAGCCAGGAUGUUGGCUUAGAAGCAGCCAUCAUUUAAAGAAAGCGUAAUAGCUCACUGGUCGAGUCGGCCUGCGCGGAAGAUGUAACGGGGCUAAACCAUGCACCGAAGCUGCGGCAGCGAACGUAUCACUUAAAGCGAUUCAGCGGGUUACGAUUGACGGAGCGAAGCGACGUCAAAGCGUAUACAAAGUCGAGUCGGUUUAAGGAUACGUUCGUUGGGUAGGGGAGCGUUCUGUAAGCCCGUGAAGGUGGCCUGUGAGGGUUGCUGGAGGUAUCAGAAGUGCGAAUGCUGACAUAAGUAACGAUAAAGCGGGUGAAAAGCCCGCUCGCCGGAAGACCAAGGGUUCCUGUCCAACGUUAAUCGGGGCA